Molecule: ribosomal RNA, 253 nt
Filed under: uncultured bacterium
Lineage: Bacteria
Description: partial 16S ribosomal RNA
Rfam family: Bacterial small subunit ribosomal RNA
Source: RNAcentral
UACGAAGGGGGCUAGCGUUGUUCGGAAUCAUUGGGCGUAAAGCGCACGCAGGUGGAUGGUUAAGUCGGGUGUGAAAGCCCGGGGCUCAACCUCGGAAUUGCAGUGGAUACUGUAGGUCUGGAGUCCGGUAUAGGUGAGUGGAAGUCCUAGUGUAGAGGUGAAAUUCGUAGAGAUUAGGAAGAACACCAGUGGCGAAGGCGGCCCACUGGACUGCUACUGACGCUCAGGUGCGAAAGCGUGGGGAGCAAACAGG